This 253-nucleotide ribosomal RNA is filed under the name uncultured bacterium. RNAcentral describes it as "partial 16S ribosomal RNA". It matches the Rfam family "Bacterial small subunit ribosomal RNA", at positions 524 to 776 of the family's 1533-position model. The record is from RNAcentral.
UACGUAGGGUGCGAGCGUUAAUCGGAAUUACUGGGCGUAAAGCGUGCGCAGGCGGUUCGUUAAGUUCGUUGUGAAAGCCCCGGGCUCAACCUGGGAACUGCAAUGGAAACUGGCGGGCUUGAGUGUGGCAGAGGGGGGUGGAAUUCCGCGUGUAGCAGUGAAAUGCGUAGAGAUGCGGAGGAACACCGAUGGCGAAGGCAGCCCCCUGGGCUAACACUGACGCUCAGGCACGAAAGCGUGGGGAGCAAACAGG